GGUUGUCCCUACUUUUAAGAUAUGCUCAAUUUGCCGAACAAUAAUCAUGCUCUUUUAUCAUUGUUUGAGUAAAUCUCUAUAAUGCUAUCAUGUCACCUUUGUUUGCUGUAGUAUAUGUUUAGGUUUGGAGUAGCUUCACUCAUCUCUUAAAUGAAGCAUGGUGCCUAGUUUAGGAGCGGUGAUCUUACAUUCAAAGGCUUUUUAAAUUAAGCGUGGUGCUUAGGUUAAAAUGCCCUCCUAAGUCAAAUUAGACGUGGUGUCUAGGUUGAGUUUUGAGCCGAUAGUAUGUUGUAGUAGAUAUUGGAAUAUUUUGUUAGACUAACCCCUGCACGAAAACUUCCAAAUUCAAAUUGGGAAAGUCUUGAGAUGAACUCACACUGGAGAUGAAGAGAUACAAUAAUUUUGCACAAGGAAGAUACAACUCACUCGUAGCCAAGAAGAAAGAAGGGUGCACAAAACAUGUUCCACAAUCAAAGCACUCCCACUUCUACGGUCAAGAGGCUGAGACAUGAGGAAGAAAGGUCAAACUUCUCUAGUUAGUCCAACACACUGGUUUUUAAUCUCUAAACAUACUAUUACUUUAUUUCUAUAAGUUUGAGCUGAUUCAUAAUGCCUAUAUUUGAGAAUCAAUACAUAAGAUGGGAAAAUAAAUUCAAACCCUUAGAAAGAAGUAAUUGUGAAUAAUAAAAGCGCUAUGCUAAGUAUGCUCAAGUAAAUUCCUUUUUGUAGCAUAGAAACCUUAGCUGUGUUACAACAAUACCCUUAUCAUUACUUGUAUAUUCCUUCAGGUAUAUGUUGUCCACUAAUCUGUUGCAGGCAUGAUAAUGACUGGAGUGAAAAGAGUCAACAGGCUAAAGAAGCAAAAGAUGGCAAAAGAAUGAGUGCAACAGAGGAGAUAAGAUGUCUAUGAACAACUCAAGAUGCAAGAGGAAGGACCACUAGUCAUUUACCCUCCAUCAGUUAGUGCCAUCAUGCUCUAAUAAUGAAGGUAAUAUUCUAAGGUAAGUGGUCACUCUCUUCUCUUGAUCUUGGUGUGCACAUAAGUGAAGACACAAACAUAUUAGAGUUACAACUUAAAUUGAUCAACCUGGUUAACUCAAUAUGCUUUUCUCUUUUAAAUUGUUCAUGGCACCAUUCUCUUAAUCUCAGUCUUAACCAAAGAAGUUAGAACAUUAUAUUCAAUCUUGGGAAGAUGAUAGUCAUACUUAUUUGAAAAUUUAUAUAGAAAUAGAUAAUCCUUCCAUUGGUUAAGCAAUUUCAUUCUUUUCUGUCAUGUGAACUUAAAUGCAAUAUUAAAUGCUUAAUCUUUUGAUCUUACCACUCAUAAAUAAAUAAAUCAUGUAACAUAGCUUUAUCUUGUUUAAUGUGCCUAAGGAUAAAGAAAAAUAAAUAAAUAAAUAAAUUUGGUUUUGUUGGUGUUUUUCCACCAGCAGAACCCAUGCACUUGAUCUCUACCUUAGUUUUGCAAAUAGGACAACACGUCAAGCAAAGUUUAUUAAUUCUACAAGUGAAAGUUCUGUGAGUAUGCACACUGAGCAAGAUGAUGCCAGCUCCUAUUAAAGCUCUACUUCAACCUGCUGAUGAAAUCAAAGAACAAAAGUGACAUUACCAUCACUAGAGGUAUGCAACCAUCAAAACCUCCAUCUCUCAAUAUGGAGAGAUACACAAGAGUGGAAGAAGGCACGUGCGGCAUUACCAUGGAACGGGGAGUUGACUGAGGUUACCUCAGACAAUGAACCCACUGAGUAAGUGUUCUCUUCUAUUCAAGUCCUGUCGGUAGACUUUAAAAUUCCAUACCCUAGCCAUAAGGUUAGAAUGGUAGUUAUCUCAUUAAAUGCAUUUGCAAUUUAUUUAGUAGCAUAUUUGUUUACACACUAAAAGAUAGAAAAACAACAAAAAAAUUAUUUACUGCAUUACUCAUGGCAUCACAAGCCCCAGGUGGAUACCCUAUGGUAUUUUCCAAAGGAACAUCGCCUGUGGUGGCAUAAAAUAAAAAUGACAAAAAUAUAGCAUUUAAAUUCCUGCAUCAUAAAUAGAAAAUUCAAAAAAAUAAGAGAAAAUUGAAAUCCUGUUCAAAUUAGAAAACAUUAAGCUAGCUCUUAAAGGUGGUCAAUUACUCUUUGGCUGACCGCUAACCUCUUAUUAAAUUCGAGCCUCAUGUUUUGGUUUUCUUUUUGAAGUGUAAUUAUGGAGGAAUAACAUUAUGACAUGGAGAGAGUCUACUAGUGGCACCCAUCUAGAGCGCUACCGGUUAGCUCACUCUGAAGAUCAUCAACACCAACUAUGGAAAACAUCUAGCUUGGGGGAGGAGCAUCCCCUAGUUAUCAGGUAACUAUACCUAAGCGAUUAUCGAGUCUAUUUUAUAUAGUCAUAAAAUACCAAAAAUAUGUGAGCACAUGAAGGUUCAUAAUAGUAUCAUAAGAAAAUAUAAAAAAAAUUAACAAAAAUAUAUGGGCACAUGAAGGUCCAUGUCUUUAGAGUCUCCUGAGUCUAAUAGAAAUGAAUAAAAAACCAAACAAAAUACGUAUCCAUAUAUUAAAGUGUGAUCAUAGAGUGUGUCUACAGUAAUUCUAGUUUAGAGUCAAAUAAAAAUUAGAGAAUUUUAAAAAUUUUGUCUUGGAGAUGAUGAAUAGUUGCUCUGCAGUAAUUCCUUUCAAGUGCCUAGUUUUCAACCAUGAAUUCUUCGGAGUUUUAGACAUUACCACUUUAAGAGUUUACUCUGAACCUAAAAUUUGUGGAGGCAUAUGUUUAAGCUGAGUCUAGGUGAUUAAUUGAUAUUAUACAUGAAGGUCUAAGCUGAUAUUUAUCUUAUUCCUAGCACUACUAAGUUCUGGAGAUUUAUUUUCAAAAAAACCCAAAAAUCUUACAUGAUAAGCUCUUGUAUGAUAAAGUUUUAAUUCCUACCAAAGCCAUAUAUGAUACAUUUAGAGUUAGGAAAACUUUUGCGCAUACAUGCUGCUUGCUUUACAUUGAGUUUAGUUAACCUUUGGAGUAUACUUAUGAGAGUCUUGUCAUGCUUUUAAAAUUAAGAUCACUUAUGCACUCCAACCACAUAUGCAUUACUCCUACUCUAGGAUGUAAGCACAAUCAUUUUCACCUUCAUCCAGAUCCACCUUAAAAAUGUUCUUUCUCCUACACUAGGAGUAAACACCCAAAAAUAUACCCUAUAGGACAGCCCCCAUUUAAUUGCUCUAAGUUCUUAUCAUUAUCUCUCCAAUUAUUUUCAUUCAAAGGAUGCAUGUGACUAUGCAAAAGUAUAAAAAAAAGAAAGAAAAAAAGGGGAGUAAAAGAUGGACAAGUGUCCCAGCAAUUAAAACAAUGGGUACAUCGAUGCCCGCCUCCCACAGUAAUGAAAAAAAAAGAGAAUAAAGAUAGCCCAUGGUUUCAUGCGAAAAGUUCUAAGUUUUAAAGGAGGAAGUAAUUUUCAAAGAGCAAAAGUAGAAAUAGGAUCAGCCACUAAAUACUAUAUAUGCACCUAUCCACCAUAUUCCAUACACACGCACAUUUGGUUGUAUGCCUUAACUCUCUAUGGAUCCAUUGUUUGACUUUACAAUAUAUGAAAUGCAAGUAUGUUCAUCCUUGUUAUUGCCACUCCUAUAAGCUCCACUAUAUAUAUCCUUAGUUGUAGGAAGGCAUAACCUCAUUAAUGCCUCAAUGAGAUCCAUAAAUACUAUAUAAUAAUAGACUUGAGGGUGUCAUACAAUUAAGCUCUAAGUUUUAUUUCGAAAACUUGCAAAACUCCAAAAUAUUGGUACUGUGAAGAAUUUGAGACAUAGUGCCCGACUUGAUUGUUUUAUCAUUCAAUUACUCAAGACUUAUGCGAAAACUGUAAAGCUCCAUGGUUAAAGGUAAAAUGGGUAAGUUUGAAAGAUAGAUCGGAGGAAGAUUUAUGUUUAAAAGCAAGUGUACUUAAAAGAAAUGAAGUACAACUCCUGAUCCAAGUUUAUUAAUUAGGCUUGGGUUGUUUGCCAAGGGACUAGUAAAAGGUAACCUUGGGGGAAUUGUUGACGGUCAAUAACAUCAAGUUUUAUUAGAACUUUAAACCCCAAGGAGAACAUGAAUACACACUAGUAUAGGGUUUAAACUAACAAUUUCCAUGAGUUUUGCACAUUCUGUGUUUUCCAGGGUGUUGGGCAUUCUUAACGUCAUUACCAAAAGUAGACUUAGUUUUCUAUUUCUGAUAAUGGCGCCAAAAAUGUUGGACCUAUCCCUCAUGCCACUUAAGCCAAGUUGUCAUCCCCAGCAUGACAUGAGAGACGCGAUAUUAAAAUAUGCAAUUACUCUUCUGAAUAAAUAAUGAAUGGGAUCUGCAAGCGCACAGAUUAAUACCGAUGUAGCAUUUUAACCGAGAAGUAUUCUAGGUAUCAUUUUUAUAUUUUUACCACUGGGAAGGGAUUACUAACACCAAUGUUGAUUGUGGAAUGAAAUACGGAACUGAGUAUCAUUGCAUGUGUAAUAGAGAGCAUUCAUCUAUCUCUUACAUACAGGGAUAAAUGUCACAUAAAAUAUAGAUAAAGUAUGAAUGGUGACAAAGAUAACUAAUCUGAUCACCAUAACUAGCCACAUAUGAUAAUGAUAAGCACCUCAACAGAUAUUCUAGCAAGUCAUUAGCAUAGAAUUAGGAUGAACUACAAAAAUAUUUCCUAAGUUAUUCUUAUCUAUAAAGUCUAGCAUAUCAUAAUUAGUGCAAUUAUACUUGGCAAUCAUUGCGAGACAGGAUUAUGCCCAUGCAUAGUGAUAUUAUUAAGGAAGAUGAAAAACAUAGCAAUCACUCCCCUGUAAUAAUGUUGCUCUACCUGCCCUAUACAUGGGAGGGGGACUAUAUAAGAAUCAAUGGAGCUGUCACCACCGCGAACUACCCCGCUAUCCGGCAUAUAGGGUACAAUCGCAGAUAAAUACGGUAUAGGCACCACGCCUACACAAUACUUAUCAUUUACCCAUG
Molecule: long non-coding RNA, 4942 nt
Filed under: Sorghum bicolor (sorghum)
Lineage: Eukaryota; Viridiplantae; Streptophyta; Magnoliopsida; Poales; Poaceae
Description: long non-coding RNA (SBIC_LNC003399)
Source: RNAcentral